GACGAACGCUGGCGGCGUGCUUAACACAUGCAAGUCGAACGAAGAGCGAUGGAAGCUUGCUUCUAUCAAUCUUAGUGGCGAACGGGUGAGUAACGCGUAAUCAACCUGCCCUUCAGAGGGGGACAACAGUUGGAAACGACUGCUAAUACCGCAUACGAUCUAACCUCGGCAUCGAGGAUGGAUGAAAGGGGGCCUCUAUUUAUAAGCUAUCACCGAAGGAGGGGAUUGCGUCUGAUUAGCUAGCUGGAGGGGUAACGGCCACCCAAAGCGAUGAUGAGUAGCCGGUCUGAGAGGAUGGACAGCCACAAUGGGACUGAGACCCGGCCCCAACUCCCACGGGAGGCAGCAGUAGGGAAUCUUCCGCAAUAGAAGAAAGUCUGGCGGAGAAACGCCGCGUGAGGGGUGACCGCCUUCGGGUUGUAAAGCUCUGUUAAUCGGGACGAAAGGCCUUCUUGCGAAUAGUUAGAAGGAUUGACGGUACCGGAAUAGAAAGCCACGGCUAACUACGUG
RNAcentral lists this ribosomal RNA (510 nucleotides) under uncultured bacterium. Its description in RNAcentral is "partial 16S ribosomal RNA". It matches the Rfam family "Bacterial small subunit ribosomal RNA", at positions 28 to 507 of the family's 1533-position model. The record is from RNAcentral.